This 579-nucleotide long non-coding RNA is filed under the name Ananas comosus (pineapple). RNAcentral describes it as "long non-coding RNA (ACOM_LNC024347)". Lineage: Eukaryota; Viridiplantae; Streptophyta; Magnoliopsida; Poales; Bromeliaceae. The record is from RNAcentral.
UGAAGUUACGUUGUCCAUUUGGUUGGAGAGCCAUUUGAAUGGUUCCGGUAAAGUUGCGGUGUAAUGUAAUAUACCGGAUUUAAAUAUAAAAAUAAAAAUAAAUAAAAAUAGUAUGAGAUACUAUUUUUAUUGGAUUUGGAGAAGUAAAAUAUGAGUUAGAAAUGACUUGUGCUGAAAUUGGAAUGAAAACAGAAGAUUUAGAAUUUUCUGUGAGAGACGGGGCAGAUAAAUUAGCAGAAAAUGCACAGUCUCAGAAAAUUAUGAAAAUUGGAGGACAAGUCAGAAAUAUUUUUAUGAGGCUAGAUUUAAGGUUUCAUAUUUUUCUGACACCCGUAGAGUGAGAAAUAAAAUCCGACAGUUAUCUGAUAAAGAUUACAGUUCGGUACAGUUUUCAGUGACCAAACGGGGUCGAAACUGAAAAGUUAAGAUAUAUUCUUACUCAGUACGUUAAACUGAGUCUACCUGUCAAAUUUGAGCUCAAUCGGACAUUCAGAAGGGUUCCGAUGGAACUUAUCAGAUUUGAGGGACUAAACUGAAAAGUGGAAUAGUUGAGGGGGCUGCUUGUGGAAAAGAGCAUUG